GUUGCUUUCGUUUUCUCUCUGGUGUCGCAGACACUAAAGCAGUCAGUCAUGUUUUUCUGUGUUCUGAUCAACGCUGAAUAAACUUGUAAAUAAUGCUCUCCUGGGUGCAACUUUUGGCUGUGCUAAUUGCUGAUAGAGCGUGCAUGAGUCUGGAAUGUGUACAAGAUAUUUUCUAGAAACUCAUGUCGCUGAGUGCCUACGGGAGGUAGAUGGAUCGUCCGGCAGACGGCUCGGGGGCCUUGAUGGACUUUAUCUCCCUGGCAGUAUCCCAACAACAGGUUUCGGGCCCAGAUUCACAGCACUUACAGGAGAGUAAGACUGCGACAGACUGCUGAAAGGUAUGUGGAGGAAAAGCGAAAGUGAGGCUUUUCGUUGCCGCGGCAAAGUCCCUUUGAUGUCCGGUCAGGCCUAAUUGGAUCUGGGAGCCGCGCCAAGAGCAUUCGUGAGUUAUGGGCUGCUAAGAUAAGGGGUCUUUGAAGUGAAUAAGACUCACGGCUCAAGUAAAAGGCUGAGAUGGAUCUUUUACAAUCCUCAGAAGCUGCUCCGUCUCCACCAAAGCUAAAUGGCCACAACUAUCAGACCUGGGCAAGGUACCGUGAGGGCCAGAUGAGAAAGCUUGGAGUGUGGAAUACCGUUUCUGAGGACCCCCCAGCCCCUGUGACAGAUGAAUGGACGGCACAGGACUCAAGAGCCAUGGGGAUAAUUUUGCUCUCAGUAGCUCCUGAAGAGUUAAUCACCCUGGCUGGCAAGGCCAGUGCCCGUGAGAUGUGGGACGGGCUUAGAGCCUGUCAUCUCCGACAAGAGGCUGGGUCUGUGUUGCUUUAUUUCAGAAAGCUGCACAGGAAGCGUUUGGAGCCAGGGGAAGACCUUAGAGCCCACGUUUUACAUUUGCAGCAUCUCAGACAGGAAUUGACUCAGAGAGGUUUCAAUAUGCCUGAGUCACUGUUUGCAAUUCUCAUCCUGGACUCCCUGGAUGAAAGCUACCAUGCCGUGGCAAGUCAGCUGGCGACCCUCCCUGCGCAAGACCUCACUGCUACAAAGGUCUUGGCGACUUUGCAAAACGAAUACGAUAGAAGGAAUGCAGCUGAGUCGGCUUGUGCGCUCCAGGGGGAGCAAUGUGGGACAGCAUUCCAGCCUCCAGGGGGAGCCAAGGAGUCGGCAGCUGAGAGCUCUGUUUCUCGUGGGAGCCAAGGUCAUCGCCUUUGCAGAGGCCGGAAAGGCAAAGGUAAACAGAGGCAGACGCCUGCAGAUGGCCAGAAGCAGAGGGAGGGUGAAGAGCCCACGCCAGUGGAAAACAAGGUUAUGUUUGCUGGCACAGCCUCACCAAAGGCUAAAGGCAAGUCUGAUGGCCAGGAGCAGGGGGGCAAGCUGCAAAAGCCCACGCCGGUGGAAAACAAGGUUUUGCUUGCUGCAAAGGCUGCUCCAAAAGCCAAGGCCAGGUUUGUUGUUGAUUCAGGCUGUACCCGCCAUGUCUCAAAGGACCGCCACCUAUUUAUCUCCUUCACGCCUCAGGAAGGUGAGAUCCACCUGGCUGACGGAAAGACGUUGCGAAUUGCAGGAGAAGGGACUGUGAAACUGGCAAGUCUGCACACUACCAUCAAAGAUGUGCUGUAUGUUCCAGGUGCUGCAGACAAUUUGCUCAGUGUCCCGCAGUUGACUGGGCGUGGUUUUGAGAUUUCCUUCAAGAGGAGCGUCUGUGUCAUCAGAAAAGGCAAAGAGGACAUUUUGCAUGCAAAGUUUAUGGAUGGCUUGUUCUGUAUAACUUAUGACGACAAUGGUGCUAUUGUGUCUAAUGCUGAUUCUUGUUGUGUUGCACAAACUAACAAAGUUCUUCAUGCAGGAUGCAUUCACGAUGCACAUCGAAGGUUUUGCCAUCUCUCUUGGAAGGCACUGGCCAAGAUGCCAGAGAUGGUUGAGGGUUUGAACAUCAAACCCUGUAAGUUUCACAUGAAAUGUGUAUCUUGUGCAGAGAACAAGGUGAAGGUUGCUCCAAAAGGCAAGGAGUCUAGCAGGCAGGCUUCCAAACCCUACCAGCUAGUGCACGCAGACCUGGUUGGUCCACUUGCGCCCUCUUUGGGUGGAGCAAGGUACUUCAUGGUUCUAAUUGAUUCUUUUUCCAGGUACAUUCAUGUGUUUAUGCUCGAGCAGAAAUCGCAAGCGUUUCCUAAGUUCAAGGCAUUCUGUGCUUGGUUGGAGAAUGUUCACGGUAAACGCAUUGGCUGUCUGUUUACUGAUCGAGGCGGGGAGUUCACUUCUCAGCAGUUUGAAGCUUUCCUGACUGAGAAGGGAAUCCAGCAUAGCCUCUCAAGUCCUGGAUCUCCAUGGGAGAUUUGUGAGCAAGCAAAGCAAACGUUGCUGCAAGGACUGAAAACAUUGCUGCAUGAUGCCAAUCUCCCUGAGAAGUUUUGGGGGGAGUCUUUGAACUCGUAUGUUUACACUUUUAAUCGCAGAUUGUCAUCACCUAUUGGUUGUACCCCCUAUGAGAAGAUGUUUGGUAAGAAACCCAACAUCAAGCACAUGAGAAUCUUUGGUUCUGACAUGUGGGUACACACCCCACAGAGCAACAAGCUUGGGAAGCGUGGGGCACAUGGUUUGUUCAUGGGGUACGAAAAGGUGCAUACAGGGUGUGGAUGACCAACUCUAAGUCCAUUAAGUUCACAAGGAGUGUUGAGUACAAUCCUAAGUGGGGGGAAAAUGUGGGAAUUUUCCAGAGUUACCCAGAGGAGGAUGAAGGUGAUGUCAAAGAAGCAGCUAAAGCUGAGGAAGCUGCUGAGGAUGAUGAUGACGAUGAUGAUCAGAGUUCGGAUUCCAGUUCAGUGGGCGGCGCUGCUGCUGGUGUCAGUGACAGUGAUGACACAGCAGACUACAAGAGCGCAAAGGCCUCAGUCAGACCAUCUGAUGCGUCUGACAAUGAACUGGAAGAACCACUGUUCACCAUUGGUCACUUUUCUCCUAAGAAAGAGGAGAUGAGUCCAGAAGACUUGCGUCUAGUACGCAGAUCUGAAAGAGCCACAAAGGGCAGACCUCCAAAGAGAUUUGCUGAUGAGUUUGCUAAGACAGCAACUGCUGUUCUUAGUAGCUCAGAGAAGGUGUGGGAACCUUCAAGCUUCAAAGAGGUUCAGGAGUUAACCUCUAAAGAUGCUGAGCCUUGGCUUAAUGCCAUGAAGGCUGAAGUUGAUUCCUUGAACAGGAACCAAACUUGGGAACUGGUACCGGUAGUCCCAGGGAUGAGACUGGUUGGCAGCAAAUGGGUCUUCAAGGCCAAGACAGACCAGAAUGGCAAGGUUGUCAGACACAAAGCCAGAUUGGUUGCCAGAGGUUUUCACAGGUACCAGGACAGGAUUACCACGAGACCUACUCACCCACCGUCAAAUAUGAGAGCAUUCGGCUGAUGCUCAAGAUAGCUGCAGAGGAGAAACUGCAUGUUUCCCAUCAUGACAUUAAUACAGCUUUUUGUACGGGAUUCUGGAGGAGGAGCUGUUUAUGCUUCCACCUGACGGGAUGCAGAUACAGAAGGGAAUGGUCUGUAAACUGCGGAAAUCCUUAUAUGGUCUCAAGCAGAGUGCCAGGUGUUGGAACACAAAGCUCACUGAGACAUUGCUUUCUCUAGGUUUUCACCAGGGCAAAGCUGAUCCAUGUGUGUUUGUCAAGGAGGAGGGGCAAAACAAACUGUAUUGUUUAUGUUUUGUUGAUGAUCUUCUGAUGUUUUGGAAGAAUCAGGCUUUGUACCAAAGCACCCUAGCUCAGCUGAAGGAGCACUUUGACAUGAAGGAUCUUGGUGAGGUAUCCAACUAUCUUUCUCUGCAGGUGGAGAAGGACCAAGCAGGUAAUUUUCUGGUACACCAAACACAGAAAAUUGCUGAUGUAUUAACCAGGUUGAAUUUGGUUGAUGCAAACCCAGCAGACACACCGAUGGUGACAGGUUACCAGGUAGACAGUACUGCUGAAGCGUUUUCUGACACAACGCUGUACAGAUGCAUUCUAGGCAAGUUGAAUUUCAUUGCUAGAUGCUCAAGACCUGACAUAGCUGUGAGCACUAACCUGCUUAGCAGACAUGCUAACAAUCCUACUGUUCAGGAUUGGAAAGCUCUGAAGCGCAUAGCCCGCUAUUUGAAAGGGACUUUGCACUACAGGCUGAGGUUCACCAGUCAGAAGACUGGAGGUCUUGAAAUCUUUGCAGAUGCAAGUUUUGGAAGUGACACCACGGAUGGUACAAGCACUUCUGGAGUAUGCUACAUGUACAACCACUGCCUGUUUGACUGGUUGUGCAAAAGCAGACGACAGUGAGCCUAAGUUCCUGUGAAGCAGAACUCAAUGCUCUGUCAUUUUCACUCAUGGAUUGUGAAUGGUUGAUGCAACUGUUUAAGGACAUCAGAGUUUCUGUGAAAUGUCCUGUACAAGUGUAUCAAGACAAUAGAUCGUGUUUGGCUUUGCUGAACUCGGAGAGUUGCAAGCAAAGGACCAAGUACUUGCAGAUUAAGCUACAUCGUGCAAGAGAGUGUAUUCAGAAAGGACUCAUUCAGGUGUCCUACAUGCCAGGAAAUGAAAUUCCUGCUGAUCUGUUGUCUAAGGUUGUUAACAGAGAACAACUUAAGGUUUACGUACAAAGGUUGCAAUUGGGUUGAACCACAGGUACUACAGGUUACACGGAAAGGGGGAGGAUGUUAGGAUAUUUCCGUUCCACCUUAAAAGGGAGCAGGCUUUGUGAGUCAGAGUCUGCGUAUUUCCUGUUCACAGGAUGUUUAUGUUUUUCUGUUGCUUUCGUUUUCUCUCUGGUGUCGCAGACACUAAAGCAGUCAGUCAUGUUUUUCUGUGUUCUGAUCAACGCUGAAUAAACUUGUAAAUAAUGCUCUCCUGGGUGCAACUUUUGGCUGUGCUAAUUGCUGAUAGAGCGUGCAUGAGUCUGGAAUGUGUACAAGAUAUUUUCUAGAAACUCAUGUCGCUGAGUGCCUACGGGAGGUAGAUGGAUCGUCCGGCAGACGGCUUGGGGGCCUUGAUGGACUUUAUCUCCCUGGCAGUAUCCCAACA
Non-coding RNA from Podarcis lilfordi (Lilford's wall lizard), 5028 nucleotides. The record is from the annotation of a GenBank genome assembly. NCBI's taxonomy places the organism in Eukaryota, Metazoa, Chordata, Lepidosauria, Squamata, Lacertidae.